UACGGGGGGGGCAAGCGUUGUUCGGAAUUACUGGGCGUAAAGGGCGCGUAGGCGGCCGCCUCAGUCAGACGUGAAAUCCCCAGGCUUAACUUGGGAACUGCGUCUGAUACUGGGUGGCUCGAGUUCGGGAGAGGAAUGUGGAAUUCCAGGUGUAGCGGUGAAAUGCGUAGAUAUCUGGAGGAACACCGGUGGCGAAGGCGGCAUUCUGGACCGAAACUGACGCUGAGGCGCGAAAGCCAGGGGAGCAAACGGG
RNAcentral lists this ribosomal RNA (253 nucleotides) under uncultured bacterium. Its description in RNAcentral is "partial 16S ribosomal RNA". It matches the Rfam family "Bacterial small subunit ribosomal RNA", at positions 524 to 776 of the family's 1533-position model. The record is from RNAcentral.